AAAUAUGGAUGAAAUUAGAAAGUGAUUUUCAACAAUUUUGAGAAGAAAAAUUUUGUGGAUUAUAAAAUUAUGGCUUAUUUAGAAAAAAAAAUCAGAUUCUAAAUACUUUGAAAGCCAGCAGGAGUUGAUUCUGAGUUUAGUCAUGGAUGGACACCCAGUCAAGGGUUCUCAGAUGCAGUAGAAGAAGAGACACAUACAAGCAUUCCCCUGCUACAGGGGCUGGAGGACAAAUGUGGGAAAUGGUGUAGCAAAGACCACAUGAGCUUGAUGAGUGUGUGUUGAAAUGAGUAAGAACAUAACAAGUUGAGCAGUGAUAAGAAAAAGAGGAUGGGGUUUGGGUGGUGGGGUCAGUGCACUGGAGGAUCCUGAAUGGUUGGGUCUGGGAAAGGAGAGUGAGCUUGAUAAAUGAGAAGGAAGGCCGUGCCCUGACAGGUAGGGCUUGUGCUCUUUAACAGCAGAGGCACUAUCGCAGUUCAGCUUAGAGGUUGUGUUGGUGUGUUCAAAGACAUUGUGCUCAGCCAAAGGGAAAGAAAGGGAAAAGUGUUGCGUUUUUUCAGUUGGAUAAAUUUAUCCAGUUGGAUGAAUUUAUCAUCUAAGGAAGACCAUGUAAAUCUUUGUUUAGGUCAUUUUUUAAAUGAUGAAUUGCCCUUUAAUCAACAGGGUUAUGAUAAAAACCCAAUAUUUGAAAAUUUGUAAUCAUAUUUAGUAAAUUAUUGGUGCUUUUUUUUGUUUUGCUUUGUGUUUCUUUGUUUUGUUUCUUUGUUUUUCAUUGGGAUAAAUCUCAGGGAAAUCAUGUCAUGGAGCUACAUUCCCAGCACUCUAUUUCUUAUUUUUCAUAUUUUGAGAGCAGGGAUUGAGCACAGGGAUGCUUAACCCCUGAGUCCCAUCCCCAUCCCCAGCCUAUUUUGUGGUUUGUUUGUUUGUUUGCUUGCUUUUUGUAUUUUGAGACAGAAUCUCACUUAGUAGUUUAGAGCCUGGCUGUUUCUGAGGAUGGCAUUGAACUUUGGUCUUCCUGCCUCAGCCUCCUGGGUGGCUGGUCUUUCAGGUGUGCAUCAUGCUCCUGGAUUUUUCUCUUUUUUCAGUGGAGGCACAAUAACAUGAGUGAAUUUUAGUCUUCAUAAUAAAAAAUUGUAAUUCCUCCACAAAAUUUAUGAUAUGUUGAUGGAUAGUAGUAAAAGUCAUAAUUACUCCACAAAAUUUAUGUUAUGAUGAUGGAUACACUACAAUUUUAAAUAUCUGUCUCAUAUGUAUGUAUCUAUAAUUAAAAACUGAUAUCACAACUGAUGAUGGAUGGAUAUUGAACAGGAUUUCAAAAGUUUCAACCAGCACAUUAGCAAAUGACCAGACUAAUCAAAUAGAUUUCAUCCUGAUCCCAGUCAUCAUCUAUGAGCAUCAUUUCUGAACAUCCUUAAUAUUAAUUAAUGUGACCAUCCCUGACACUCCCACUAGGACCCCAGUACUUAAGCUGAUUUGGAUAAAUGCAACUAUAAGGGCUGGAUUGGCAGGAUGAUGCCAUUGAUUCCUCAAAAUGGAAAUCCACUUGAGUUGAUUCAUGCUUUCAUAAUAGAGAUCCUGACUUGAUUGCUCCUAAAUCCAGGAACGAUAGAUCUACCUCAUGGGUGAGGGAGGGUUGGCAGGGAGUGAGACUCCAAGGGGACACAAUUUAACUUAGAGAACCACUGCUAACAAAUAGAGCAAAAUCAGUGAAAUCUGAGAAAUUCCACAAUGUUUCCCUAGAGGUGGAAACCAAAGUCUGCAUGUUGGUUAAAAAAGUGAUAUUUCUUCAAAAUCUAAGAGCAUUUUAUAACUCUGGACCCUUUAUUGGGCAAUUCACAUGUGAAAAUCAAGGUUUUCCAUUUAUAUGUAAAUGCAUAUAUGGAGGUUUAAUUUCUUCAUUUUUGUUAGCGAUCAUGUUCACAUUCUUUUGAAUUUUGGUUUUGGAAUAUGAACCGAGUACUGCACCCAUAACAUUUGGGCAAUCUGAAUUUUCCUUGUGUUAGCACUGCAUUUUAGACAAAAGAAUGUCUAGGAUUUCAUGAGAGAGGAGUCAGGAUGUCUUCUAAAUAUGUUGAAUAUCAUGAUUUUUCUUCUUUAUCCACAGUAUUUUCUGAAAAUUGUUUGGACUGUGUGUGAGUGAAGAGGAAGAUUGCAGAAAGCAAAACCAUGACUAUGAAUCCAUUAGUGGUUGAGCAGUGAAUGGCUUUUCUAUUGAAAUUUUCCCCCUAUUGACAGAGAUGCCAAGUCUUCAGUGCAAGCAGGAGUUAGUCCUGUACCCCACAACUCUGCAGUUGUCACCAUGGGUCAGGAACUCAUCAGCAGGCAACUGAUGUCCUUCCUGUUAGGACACCACUAUACCAUGGUACCAUUCCUGGCUGUGUACUUCCAGAAGGAAUGGGACAUAUUGAAUCUCACAUUUUGCCUAUGACUCCAUUUGAAAUAAUUACUGAUUAAUGAUGUUACUUAUUGCAAUGAUGUUUGGAUUUUGGUGAAUUCAGGUGAGGGAAAUGAGUGAGGAGUAGAACCUCACAGCCAAACAUGGAGGCAGAUAUUCUAGCACAUGAAUUCUGUUGACACAGUGCCACAGGCAUUCAAGUAAUACUGAGAAAAAAAUAAAAGACCUAGGCUAGAGAAGGCAUGAGAAAUAAUGGGUUUUUUUGCAAUUUUAAACUUAGAGUUUUAUGGAAUAAAUUUCAACUUUUGAUAACCCCCCUAAAAAAACCCUAAAUUAAUCAUGAUCAUUUUUAUUUAAAAUUUUGUUACAACUUACUAAUAAAAUAUUCCUUCAUAUUUUCUACUGGAAGUUGUUUACGCCAACUUAUAUUAACCUAAUUGAUGUUUGUCAUUAAAAUAUACUAUUAAUUCAUAUAGUAGACAGAGCAAAUUUUUUGAAGAACUGGAUACAUGAAAACUAAUAAAGGAACAGAGAAAUGAGAUCAAGAUAUCAGAGAGACAUUGAAAAGUAGUGUUUGGAGCUCAAGAGAGAAUUGAGGAUGAGAGUUGUAGUAUAGGGAUGGUUGCUGGGACUCUGCCUCAGAGUACGUCUCAGAGACUGUGCCUUGUGCUGCUCAAAUGUCUGUCCUUAACCUUAUUCUGACCUCCUUGGUCACAUUGUGAGAAGAGUGACUCUUCCUACUGACACCAAGUUAUAUGCAAUUUGUUCAGUUCUCAAAAAUUCUGGAGAUUGGUUCAAGAAUGUCUGCAUUAUUCUGCUUAUAGGGUUAUAGUUUAAACAUGUUUUGAAGAUAUAAAGAAAUUCAUUGGCCUUUUAAACACUCACAUUACUAAAUAUUUUACUGAUGAGGGAUAUAAGAUACCUCUUUGAGAAAAUGACUAUUUUAUACAUAGUCAAUUUUCAAGAUGACAAAUUAAUGUUAAGGUUGGCCUGGUGAUAAUUCUGGAAAGUUACUUAAAUAAGUGGGGAUUUAAAUUUUAGUUGAAAAUGUUCAAGUGAAAAUUUUAUAAUAGCAUGAUUGAAAGUUAUUCUUACCAGUCCUUAAAAUGUUUUUCAUGUUUCAUGACCCUCUAUCAUUCCAUAUUCCUUUACUAUAAAUUCUAUGAAUUCAAUCAAUGCAUGUACAUUCUGGUUUUCUGAAAGUAAGCAGGUUGGGAGCUGAAAAUGAAUAGGCUGGAGCCUUUAACAGUUUGAUCUCCCUGCAAACCUAGUUUCCCCUAUGCCUCAUGCUGUCCUCUCAACCCUUCUUUUGUGAAAUUGAUCUCCUUGCUCUUUCUAAUCUAGCUUGUCAAUUCCAUUCUAGGAAUUGAUGUCCAUUGAAGAUGUAAGCAUAAGUUUCACCCAAGAAGUGUGGGCCAUGCUGGACCCAUCUCAGAAAAUGCUACACCGGUCAGUGAUGCUGGAAAUCAUUAAUCAUCUAGUAUCAGUUGGGUAUCUGCUCUGCAAAUCAGAUGUGACUUUGUAUCUGGAGGAAGGAAAAAUCCUGUGGAUGGGAGAAGGGACAGGAUUUCUCCCAAGCCAGAGUCCAGGGACGGAAAAUGAAUAUCAAGAACACUAAUUAUAAAUCUCAUGUUAAAGAGGAUUCCUUGGAAUGGAGAAAAGCAAGGAACCCCUGGGACAACAAACACUGUGCAUGAUCCCUUGCUAACAAUUUGUAUCUUGGUGAAAACAAGAAAAAUGAUCGUGUCUCAUGUGAAGGGCAAGAAUGUUUGAAAGGACAUAGGAAUUGUUUAUGACCUAGAAAAUGCAACAAGAACGACCCUGGAGAGAUACAAUAUGAAUGUCGUCUAUGCAGCAAAUCCUUUAAUCAAACUUCUGAUCUAAGCAGACUCAAUGAAACUAGAACAGGGGAAAAGAAGCAUGAAUGUGGUUUUUCUGAGAAAGUCUUCAAUUACUGCUCUCAGCUUAGACAACAUGAGAGAACCCAAACCGGUGAGAAACAAAAUGAAUGCCACAUGUGUGGGAAAGCCUUCAGGAAGACUUACAACCUUAAAAUGCAUAAGAAAGUCCAUGCUGGAGAGAAACCAUACAGAUGCCAUCCAUGUGGGAAAGCUUUUUGUAAAUUAUACAGCCUUCAAAUGCAUGAUAAAAUCCACACAGGAGAGAAACCAUACAAAUGCCAUGUGGGUGGGAAAGCCUUCAGCAAAUCAGUUCACCUUAGUCAUCAUCAGACAAUCCACACAGGAGAAAAACCAUACCAGUGUCAAUUAUGUGAGAAAUCCUUUGGUCAAACAUGCUACCUUAAACUUCAUCAGAGAACAAACACUGGAGAGAAACCCUAUCAAUGCCACCUGUGUGGGAAAUCCUUCAGUCAAUCUGGUUACCUUAAACCACAUCAGAGAAUCCACACUGGUGAGAAACCAUAUGAAUGCCAUGUAUGUGGGAAAGCCUUCAGUCUAUCAUCUAGCCUUAGACACCAUGAGAAAACACAUAUUGGAGACAAACAAUACAAAUGUCACCUAUGUGGAAAGGCUUUCAAUACAUGCUCUGGCCUGAGACAACAUGAGAAAACACAUACUGGAGAGAAACCAUACAAAUGCCCUGUGCGUGGGAAAGCCUUCAGUCAAUCAUCUGGCCUCAGAGUUCAUGAGAGAACACACACCAGAGAAAAAUAACAUGCAUGCCACUGUGUGGCAUACUCCUUGGCCAUAACCCUAGUAUUGAAAAAUGAAACAUGACUUGCCUUGGAGAAUAGCCACUGGAAUGUCACCUGUGUGGAAAGGCCUCUCUUUAAGACUCUAACCUUAGAAAACAUGAGCCAUCUCAAUGAAGAGAAACCUCAUGAGUGACAUCUAUGUGGGAAAGGCUUCAGUCAAUCUUACUACCUUAGACUGCAUGAGAAAAUCAAUCAUAGGAAUGUCAGCUGUUUGAGAUGUAUGUCCUGCCAAUGUUCUGCAUGUAGGAACCCAUGCUGGAGACAAACUUCAGUUCUUGUAGCAUAUAUUCUAACCUGAUAUUACAAGAUAUAAUGACUAAAUUUUUUUCUUAUAGUUCACAUAUUUUUUCUCCUACUCAUAUUUUUUCAUACUACCAAAUUUGAAAAUUAUCUGAUUGUUAACCUACCUUCUUUCUGAUAUAAUACUUUAAGUUAUAAAUGUUCUUCUGAAUGCUCUUUGUCCCAGAGAUUUGAUAUAUGAAGCCUUCUUUAUCACUUUGUUCAAAGCACUGUUUAUUUGCUUCUUGUGUGCCUUCUUCCUUGACCUGUGAAGUACGUGUAGGUGUGCCAUUUCAUGUUGAAGGACCUGGUUUGUGGUGAUGGGGUUCUAUAGAUCUUAAGGUGAUUGAUAUCUAAUAUAAUCAGUCAUGCAUUAAACACAGUCUGCAUGAUUUUAAAUGUUUUAAAAGGCAAUGGAAAUGCUUAAAAUUUAAAAUAUAAGAUUGAAUUAGUUACAUACAUGUCAAAACUGAUCAAAUUGCAUGCUUCCAAUAUAUGCAUUUUAUUGUUCUUCAACUACUUCAAUAAAAUCAUGAAAAAAAUGUGAAGAAA
Marmota monax (woodchuck) is the source of this 5939-nucleotide RNA transcript. RefSeq lists it as uncharacterized. The record is from RefSeq and is a predicted model, not a curated record. The transcript has 4 exons. Lineage: Eukaryota; Metazoa; Chordata; Mammalia; Rodentia; Sciuridae.